ACCAGAAGUUACUCGACUAUAAUUCUCCAGAUAUUCGAAUAACCAGAAGUUAUUCGAGUAUAUCUGUUUCCAGAUAUUCGACUAUCCCAGAAGAUAUUCGAAUACCGCUCCCAGAUAGUCGACUAUCACAUAAACUAUUCGACUAUCCACGGUCAAAUUUCAAAAAUCUGACAGUUUUAUAGCCGUUCAAAUCAGUCCAAAAAUCUGAUUUUUACCAUUCAAUGCUAU
Molecule: long non-coding RNA, 228 nt
Filed under: Nicotiana benthamiana
Lineage: Eukaryota; Viridiplantae; Streptophyta; Magnoliopsida; Solanales; Solanaceae
Description: long non-coding RNA (NBEN_LNC033147)
Source: RNAcentral